GAUGAACGCUGGCGGCGUGCCUAAUACAUGCAAGUCGAACGAGUUCUCGUUGAUGAUCGGUGCUUGCACCGAGAUUCAACAUGGAACGAGUGGCGGACGGGUGAGUAACACGUGGGUAACCUGCCCUUAAGUGGGGGAUAACAUUUGGAAACAGAUGCUAAUACCGCAUAGAUCCAAGAACCGCAUGGUUCUUGGCUGAAAGAUGGCGUAAGCUAUCGCUUUUGGAUGGACCCGCGGCGUAUUAGCUAGUUGGUGAGGUAAUGGCUCACCAAGGCGAUGAUACGUAGCCGAACUGAGAGGUUGAUCGGCCACAUUGGGACUGAGACACGGCCCAAACUCCUACGGGAGGCAGCAGUAGGGAAUCUUCCACAAUGGACGCAAGUCUGAUGGAGCAACGCCGCGUGAGUGAAGAAGGCUUUCGGGUCGUAAAACUCUGUUGUUGGAGAAGAAUGGUCGGCAGAGUAACGGUUGUCGGCGUGACGGUAUCCAACCAGAAAGCCACGGCUAACUACGUGCCAGCAGCCGCGGUAAUACGUAGGUGGCAAGCGUUAUCCGGAUUUAUUGGGCGUAAAGCGAGCGCAGGCGGUUUUUUAAGUCUGAUGUGAAAGCCCUCGGCUUAACCGAGGAAGCGCAUCGGAAACUGGGAAACUUGAGUGCAGAAGAGGACAGUGGAACUCCAUGUGUAGCGGUGAAAUGCGUAGAUAUAUGGAAGAACACCAGUGGCGAAGGCGGCUGUCUGGUCUGUAACUGACGCUGAGGCUCGAAAGCAUGGGUAGCGAACAGGAUUAGAUACCCUGGUAGUCCAUGCCGUAAACGAUGAAUGCUAGGUGUUGGAGGGUUUCCGCCCUUCAGUGCCGCAGCUAACGCAUUAAGCAUUCCGCCUGGGGAGUACGACCGCAAGGUUGAAACUCAAAGGAAUUGACGGGGGCCCGCACAAGCGGUGGAGCAUGUGGUUUAAUUCGAAGCAACGCGAAGAACCUUACCAGGUCUUGACAUCUUUUGAUCACCUGAGAGAUCAGGCUUCCCCUUCGGGGGCAAAAUGACAGGUGGUGCAUGGUUGUCGUCAGCUCGUGUCGUGAGAUGUUGGGUUAAGUCCCGCAACGAGCGCAACCCUUAUGACUAGUUGCCAGCAUUUAGUUGGGCACUCUAGUAAGACUGCCGGUGACAAACCGGAGGAAGGUGGGGAUGACGUCAAAUCAUCAUGCCCCUUAUGACCUGGGCUACACACGUGCUACAAUGGAUGGUACAACGAGUUGCGAGACCGCGAGGUCAAGCUAAUUUCUUAAAGCCAUUCUCAGUUCGGACUGUAGGCUGCAACUCGCCUACACGAAGUCGGAAUCGCUAGUAAUCGCGGAUCAGCACGCCGCGGUGAAUACGUUCCCGGGCCUUGUACACACCGCCCGUCACACCAUGAGAGUUUGUAACACCCGAAGCCGGUGGCGUAACCCUUUUAGGGAGCGAGCCGUCUAAGGUGACAAAUGAUUAGGGUG
RNAcentral lists this ribosomal RNA (1490 nucleotides) under Lacticaseibacillus paracasei. Its description in RNAcentral is "bacterial SSU rRNA". It matches the Rfam family "Bacterial small subunit ribosomal RNA". The record is from RNAcentral. Lineage: Bacteria; Bacillati; Bacillota; Bacilli; Lactobacillales; Lactobacillaceae.